CCUACGGGUGGCUGCAGUGGGGAAUUUUCCGCAAUGGGCGAAAGCCUGACGGAGCGACACCGCGUGGAGGACGAAAUUUUUCGGAAUGUAAACUCCUUUUGGCAGGAAUGAAACAAAUGACAGUACCUGCAGAAUAAGCAUCGGCUAACUACGUGCCAGCAGCCGCGGUAAUACGUAGGAUGCAAGCGUUGUUCGGAAUUACUGGGCGUAAAGAGUACGUAGGCGGCAAUGAAAGUCUGAUAUUAAAGACUGGGGCUUACGCUCAGGAGUGUAUCGGAAACUUCAUAGCUAGAGGACAGUAGAGGAAGUCGGAAUUCCCAGUGUAGCGGUGAAAUGCGUAGAUAUUGGGAGGAACACCAGUGGCGAAAGCGGACUUCUGGGCUGUUACUGACGCUGAGGUACGAAAGUGUGGGGAGCAAACAGGAUUAGAUACCCGAGUAGUC
Molecule: ribosomal RNA, 443 nt
Filed under: uncultured bacterium
Lineage: Bacteria
Description: partial 16S ribosomal RNA
Rfam family: Bacterial small subunit ribosomal RNA
Source: RNAcentral